RNAcentral lists this ribosomal RNA (411 nucleotides) under uncultured bacterium. RNAcentral describes it as "bacterial SSU rRNA". It matches the Rfam family "Bacterial small subunit ribosomal RNA", at positions 97 to 518 of the family's 1533-position model. The record is from RNAcentral.
GGCGGACGGGUGAGUAACGCGGUGAGUAACCUGCCAUACACAGGGGAAUAACCGACCGGAAACAGUCGCUAAUACCGCAUAACGCAGAGGGGUCGCAUGAUUUUUCUGCCAAAGAUUUAUCGGUGUAUGAUGGACUCGCGUCCGAUUAGGCAGUUGGCGGGGCAACGGCCCACCAAACCUACGAUCGGUAGCCGAACUGAGAGGUUGAACGGCCACAUUGGAACUGAGAGACGGUCCAGACUCCUACGGGAGGCAGCAGUGGGGAAUAUUGGGCAAUGGGCGAAAGCCUGAACCCCAGCGACGCCGCGUGAGGGAAGAAGGGUCUUCGGAUUGUAAACCUCUUUCAGCAGGGAAGAAGACGGUGACGGUACCUGCAGAAGAAGUCACGGCUAACUACGUGCCAGCCGCAGC